UUCUCCGAAUCCCACGAAGACUCGUAAAAUAAAUUACCACACUGUCCUCCGUUCCAGGAAGGAAAAUCCCCAAAUCAGAAAAUGACGAAACCCUAGAAUCGGAAUUGAAGGAUUUCAAAUGCUUCGUAGGGCUUUGAGGUUGUAAAUUUGAUGGUUUACGUGACUCGAAAAGAGAGCAUAGCUUUUUAACGGUACCUUUGAAGGAACUUCCCAUUGAACCUAUCGAUGGGCUGUGCAGUUCUCCGAAUCCCACGAAGACUCGUAAAGUAAAUUACGACACUGUCCUCCGUUCCAGGCAGGAAAAUCCCCAAAUCAGAAAAUGACGAAACCCUAGAAUCGGAAUUGAAGGAUUUCAAAUGCUUCGUAGGGCUUUGAGGUUGUAAAUUUGACGGUUUACGUGACUCGAAAAGAGAGCAUAGCUUUUUAACGGUACCUUUGAAGGAACUUCCCAUUGAACCUAUCGAUGGGCUGUGCAGUUUUUUGACGGAGCCGUUACGUUCGAUUGAAGGAGGAGAAGGAUAGAAAUAUGUGACGGGCUUUUCUGGGAAUUCAAUUGGGUUAACGGCAGUAU
This 571-nucleotide long non-coding RNA is filed under the name Nicotiana benthamiana. RNAcentral's name for it is "long non-coding RNA (NBEN_LNC028113)". The record is from RNAcentral. Lineage: Eukaryota; Viridiplantae; Streptophyta; Magnoliopsida; Solanales; Solanaceae.